UACGUAGGGCGCAAGCGUUUAUCCGGAAUUAUUGGGCGUAAAGAGCUCGUAGGCGGUUUGUCGCGUCUGCCGUGAAAGUCCGGGGCUCAACUCCGGAUCUGCGGUGGGUACGGGCAGACUAGAGUGAUGUAGGGGAGACUGGAAUUCCUGGUGUAGCGGUGAAAUGCGCAGAUAUCAGGAGGAACACCGAUGGCGAAGGCAGGUCUCUGGGCAUUAACUGACGCUGAGGAGCGAAAGCAUGGGGAGCAAACAGG
RNAcentral lists this ribosomal RNA (254 nucleotides) under uncultured bacterium. Its description in RNAcentral is "partial 16S ribosomal RNA". It matches the Rfam family "Bacterial small subunit ribosomal RNA", at positions 524 to 776 of the family's 1533-position model. The record is from RNAcentral.